AAAGACUUAGUCCUAACCUUACUGUUGGUUUUUGCUAGAUAUAUACAUGCGAGUAUCCGCAUUCCAGUGUAGAUGCCCUAGGUACCUUCAUGUAAGUCGAUAGGAGCGGGUAUCAGGCUCACCUUAAAUGUAGCCCAAGACGCCUAGCACUUGCCACGCCCCCACGGGUCCUCAGCAGUAGUUAACAUUAAGCAAUGAGUGUAAACUUGACUUAGUCAUAGCAAAUCCAGGGUCGGUAAAUCCUGUGCCAGCCACCGCGGUCAUACAGGAGACCCAAAUUAACAUUACUUGACGGCGUAAAGAGUGGUCGCAUGUUAUCUAAAUAACUAAGAUUAAAAAGCAACUGAGCUGUCAUAAGCCCAAGAUGCCUAUAAGGCCACUGUUUUCAAAGAAAAUCUUAGCCAAACGAUCAAUUGAAGCCACGAAAGCCAGGGCCCAAACUGGGAUUAGAUACCCCACUAUGCCUGGCCCUAAAUCUUGAUGCUUCCUAUUACCUUAGCAUCCGCCCGAGAACUACGAGCACAAACGCUUAAAACUCUAAGGACUUGGCGGUGUUCCAAACCCACCUAGAGGAGCCUGUUCUGUAAUCGAUGAUCCACGAUAAUACCUGACCAUUUCUUGCCAUAACAGCCUAUAUACCGCCGUCGCCAGCCCACCCUCUCCUGAGGGCUCAACAGUGGACGCAAUAGCCCAACUACGCUAAUACGACAGGUCAAGGUAUAGCCUAUGGAAUGGAAGCAAUGGGCUACAUUUUCUAACAUAGAACAUACGGCAAAGGGGCAUGAAACUGCCCCUGGAAGGUGGAUUUAGCAGUAAAGUGGGACAAUUGAGCCCUCUUUAAGCCGGCUCUGGAGCACGUACAUACCGCCCGUCACCCUCCUCAAAAGCGACCCAAUAUCCAAUAACUAAUAAGCUAUCCAGCCAAAGAUGAGGUAAGUCGUAACAAGGUAAGUGUACCGGAAGGUGCACUUAGACUAC
This 978-nucleotide non-coding RNA is filed under the name Toxorhamphus novaeguineae. Its description in RNAcentral is "12S ribosomal RNA". It matches the Rfam family "Bacterial small subunit ribosomal RNA". The record is from RNAcentral. Lineage: Eukaryota; Metazoa; Chordata; Aves; Passeriformes; Melanocharitidae.